GGGUUGUGAGGUUAAGCGACUAAGCGUACACGGUGGAUGCCCUGGCAGUCAGAGGCGAUGAAGGACGUGUUAAUCUGCGAUAAGCGUCGGUAAGGUGAUAUGAACCGUUAUAACCGGCGAUUUCCGAAUGGGGAAACCCAGUGUGAUUCGUCACACUAUCAUUAACUGAAUCCAUAGGUUAAUGAGGCGAACCGGGGGAACUGAAACAUCUAAGUACCCCGAGGAAAAGAAAUCAACCGAGAUUCCCCCAGUAGCGGCGAGCGAACGGGGAGGAGCCCAGAGCCUGAAUCAGUGUGUGUGUUAGUGGAAGCGUCUGGAAAGGCGCGCGAUACAGGGUGACAGCCCCGUACACAAAAAUGCACAUGCUGUGAGCUCGAUGAGUAGGGCGGGACACGUGGUAUCCUGUCUGAAUAUGGGGGGACCAUCCUCCAAGGCUAAAUACUCCUGACUGACCGAUAGUGAACCAGUACCGUGAGGGAAAGGCGAAAAGAACCCCGGCGAGGGGAGUGAAAAAGAACCUGAAACCGUGUACGUACAAGCAGUGGGAGCCUCUUUUAUGGGGUGACUGCGUACCUUUUGUAUAAUGGGUCAGCGACUUAUAUUCUGUAGCAAGGUUAACCGAAUAGGGGAGCCGAAGGGAAACCGAGUCUUAACUGGGCGUUAAGUUGCAGGGUAUAGACCCGAAACCCGGUGAUCUAGCCAUGGGCAGGUUGAAGGUUGGGUAACACUAACUGGAGGACCGAACCGACUAAUGUUGAAAAAUUAGCGGAUGACUUGUGGCUGGGGGUGAAAGGCCAAUCAAACCGGGAGAUAGCUGGUUCUCCCCGAAAGCUAUUUAGGUAGCGCCUCGUGAAUUCAUCUCCGGGGGUAGAGCACUGUUUCGGCAAGGGGGUCAUCCCGACUUACCAACCCGAUGCAAACUGCGAAUACCGGAGAAUGUUAUCACGGGAGACACACGGCGGGUGCUAACGUCCGUCGUGAAGAGGGAAACAACCCAGACCGCCAGCUAAGGUCCCAAAGUCAUGGUUAAGUGGGAAACGAUGUGGGAAGGCCCAGACAGCCAGGAUGUUGGCUUAGAAGCAGCCAUCAUUUAAAGAAAGCGUAAUAGCUCACUGGUCGAGUCGGCCUGCGCGGAAGAUGUAACGGGGCUAAACCAUGCACCGAAGCUGCGGCAGCGACACUGUGUGUUGUUGGGUAGGGGAGCGUUCUGUAAGCCUGUGAAGGUGUACUGUGAGGUAUGCUGGAGGUAUCAGAAGUGCGAAUGCUGACAUAAGUAACGAUAAAGCGGGUGAAAAGCCCGCUCGCCGGAAGACCAAGGGUUCCUGUCCAACGUUAAUCGGGGCAGGGUGAGUCGACCCCUAAGGCGAGGCCGAAAGGCGUAGUCGAUGGGAAACAGGUUAAUAUUCCUGUACUUGGUGUUACUGCGAAGGGGGGACGGAGAAGGCUAUGUUGGCCGGGCGACGGUUGUCCCGGUUUAAGCGUGUAGGCUGGUUUUCCAGGCAAAUCCGGAAAAUCAAGGCUGAGGCGUGAUGACGAGGCACUACGGUGCUGAAGCAACAAAUGCCCUGCUUCCAGGAAAAGCCUCUAAGCAUCAGGUAACAUCAAAUCGUACCCCAAACCGACACAGGUGGUCAGGUAGAGAAUACCAAGGCGCUUGAGAGAACUCGGGUGAAGGAACUAGGCAAAAUGGUGCCGUAACUUCGGGAGAAGGCACGCUGAUAUGUAGGUGAAGUCCCUCGCGGAUGGAGCUGAAAUCAGUCGAAGAUACCAGCUGGCUGCAACUGUUUAUUAAAAACACAGCACUGUGCAAACACGAAAGUGGACGUAUACGGUGUGACGCCUGCCCGGUGCCGGAAGGUUAAUUGAUGGGGUCAGCGCAAGCGAAGCUCUUGAUCGAAGCCCCGGUAAACGGCGGCCGUAACUAUAACGGUCCUAAGGUAGCGAAAUUCCUUGUCGGGUAAGUUCCGACCUGCACGAAUGGCGUAAUGAUGGCCAGGCUGUCUCCACCCGAGACUCAGUGAAAUUGAACUCGCUGUGAAGAUGCAGUGUACCCGCGGCAAGACGGAAAGACCCCGUGAACCUUUACUAUAGCUUGACACUGAACAUUGAGCCUUGAUGUGUAGGAUAGGUGGGAGGCUUUGAAGUGUGGACGCCAGUCUGCAUGGAGCCGACCUUGAAAUACCACCCUUUAAUGUUUGAUGUUCUAACGUGGACCCGUGAUCCGGGUUGCGGACAGUGUCUGGUGGGUAGUUUGACUGGGGCGGUCUCCUCCUAAAGAGUAACGGAGGAGCACGAAGGUUGGCUAAUCCUGGUCGGACAUCAGGAGGUUAGUGCAAUGGCAUAAGCCAGCUUGACUGCGAGCGUGACGGCGCGAGCAGGUGCGAAAGCAGGUCAUAGUGAUCCGGUGGUUCUGAAUGGAAGGGCCAUCGCUCAACGGAUAAAAGGUACUCCGGGGAUAACAGGCUGAUACCGCCCAAGAGUUCAUAUCGACGGCGGUGUUUGGCACCUCGAUGUCGGCUCAUCACAUCCUGGGGCUGAAGUAGGUCCCAAGGGUAUGGCUGUUCGCCAUUUAAAGUGGUACGCGAGCUGGGUUUAGAACGUCGUGAGACAGUUCGGUCCCUAUCUGCCGUGGGCGCUGGAGAACUGAGGGGGGCUGCUCCUAGUACGAGAGGACCGGAGUGGACGCAUCACUGGUGUUCGGGUUGUCAUGCCAAUGGCACUGCCCGGUAGCUAAAUGCGGAAGAGAUAAGUGCUGAAAGCAUCUAAGCACGAAACUUGCCCCGAGAUGAGUUCUCCCUGACCCUUUAAGGGUCCUGAAGGAACGUUGAAGACGACGACGUUGAUAGGCCGGGUGUGUAAGCGCAGCGAUGCGUUGAGCUAACCGGUACUAAUGAACCGUGAGGCUUAACCUUACAACGCCGAAGGUGUUU
RNAcentral lists this ribosomal RNA (2930 nucleotides) under Escherichia coli O55:H7. RNAcentral describes it as "23S ribosomal RNA". It matches the Rfam family "Bacterial large subunit ribosomal RNA". The record is from RNAcentral. Lineage: Bacteria; Pseudomonadati; Pseudomonadota; Gammaproteobacteria; Enterobacterales; Enterobacteriaceae.